AAAAAGGCAAACCCUGAGUUUCCGUGUCCAACGUUUAACCGUCCAUCUUAUUUGAAAAAAUUAUAAUUUUUUUUAAAAAGACAAGUCACGCAUAAAGUAUUAAUCAUGUUUUAUCAUCUAACAACAAUGAAAAUACUAAUUAUAAAAAAAAUUAUAUAAAACGGACAGUCAAACAUUGAACACGAAAAAUCAGAGUUUGUCUUUCU
RNAcentral lists this microRNA precursor (206 nucleotides) under Oryza barthii. Its description in RNAcentral is "MIR812 microRNA precursor family". It matches the Rfam family "MIR812 microRNA precursor family". Lineage: Eukaryota; Viridiplantae; Streptophyta; Magnoliopsida; Poales; Poaceae. The record is from Rfam by way of RNAcentral.